CCUACGGGUGGCAGCAGUGGGGAAUAUUGGGCAAUGGAGGCAACUCUGACCCAGCAACGCCGCGUGAAUGAUGAAGGUCUUCGGAUUGUAAAGUUCUGUGAUGGGGGAUGAACACAAUGACGGUACCCCAAUAGCAAGCCACGGCUAACUACGUGCCAGCAGCCGCGGUAAUACGUAGGUGGCAAGCGUUAUCCGGAAGGAAUGGGCGUAAGGGGUGCGUAGGUGGUUUAGUAAGUUGGCGGUGAAAUUCCGGGGCUCAACCGCGACGUUGCCACCAAUACUAUUAGACUAGAGUACAGGGGGGGUAGGGGGAAUUCGUGGUGUAGCGGUGGAAUGCUUAGAUAUAAGGAGGAACAUCGGGGGCGAAGGCAACUUACUAAACUGUAACUGACACUGAGGCACGAAAGUGUGGGGAGCAAACAGGAGUAGAUACCCGAGUAGUC
Molecule: ribosomal RNA, 443 nt
Filed under: uncultured bacterium
Lineage: Bacteria
Description: partial 16S ribosomal RNA
Rfam family: Bacterial small subunit ribosomal RNA
Source: RNAcentral